RNAcentral lists this ribosomal RNA (1347 nucleotides) under Habrobathynella schminkei. Its description in RNAcentral is "SSU rRNA". It matches the Rfam family "Eukaryotic small subunit ribosomal RNA", at positions 10 to 1346 of the family's 1831-position model. The record is from RNAcentral. Lineage: Eukaryota; Metazoa; Arthropoda; Malacostraca; Bathynellacea; Parabathynellidae.
GAUCCUGCCAGUAGUCAUAUGCUUGUCUCAAAGAUUAAGCCAUGCAUGUCUAAGUACAGGCCGAACCAAGGCGAAACCGCGAAUGGCUCAUUAAAUCAGUUAUGGUUCAUUGGAUCUUACUUGUCCUACUCGGAUAACUGUGGUAAUUCUAGAGCUAAUACGUGCUUCCAAGCCCCGACCGCAAGGGAAGGGCGUUUUUAUUAGAUCAAAACCAAUCGGGCUUCGGUCCGUCCCAACUGUGGUGACUCUGAAUAACUUUGAGCUGAGCGCACGGUCUUUGCGCCGGCGCCAUAUCCUUCAAGUGUCUGCCUUAUCAGCUGUCGAUUGUAGGUUAUGCGCCUACAAUGGCUAUAACGGGUAACGGGGAAUCAGGGUUCGAUUCCGGAGAGGGAGCCUGAGAAACGGCUACCACAUCUAAGGAAGGCAGCAGGCACGCAAAUUACCCACUCCCGGCACGGGGAGGUAGUGACGAAAAAUAACGAUGCGGGACUCUUCCGAGGCCUCGCAAUCGGAAUGAGUACACUUUAAAUCCUUUAACGAGGAUCUAUUGGAGGGCAAGUCUGGUGCCAGCAGCCGCGGUAAUUCCAGCUCCAAUAGCGUAUAUUAAAGUUGCUGCGGUUAAAAAGCUCGUAGUUGGAUCUCAGUUCCGGACCGACGGUUCACCGCCCGGUGCUUACUGUCGGCUUCCGAACGGCCACACGCCGGCUCGGUCGGGGUGCUCUUCACCGGGUGUCCCGGCGCGGCCGGCAAGUUUACUUUGAAAAAAUUAGAGUGCUCAGCGCAGGCUGUUAUGCCCGAAUAUCUGUGCAUGGAAUAAUGGAAUAGGACCUCGGUUCUAUUUUGUUGGUUUUCGGAACCCGAGGUAAUGAUUAAUAGGUACAGUCGGGGGCAUUCGUAUUGCGACGUUAGAGGUGAAAUUCUUGGAUCGUCGCAAGACGGACUACUGCGAAAGCAUUUGCCAAGAAUGUUUUCAUUAAUCAAGAACGAAAGUUAGAGGUUCGAAGGCGAUCAGAUACCGCCCUAGUUCUAACCAUAAACGAUGCCAACUAGCGAUCCGCCGGCGUUAUUACAAUGACUCGGCGGGCAGCUUCCGGGAAACCAAAGUCUUUGGGUUCCGGGGGAAGUAUGGUUGCAAAGCUGAAACUUAAAGGAAUUGACGGAAGGGCACCACCAGGAGUGGAGCCUGCGGCUUAAUUUGACUCAACACGGGGAACCUCACCAGGCCCGGACACCGGCAGGAUUGACAGAUUGAGAGCUCUUUCUCGAUUCGGUGGGUGGUGGUGCAUGGCCGUUCUUAGUUGGUGGAGCGAUUUGUCUGGUUAAUUCCGAUAACGAACGAGACUCAAA